GUCUACAGCCAUGCCACCCUGACCAUGCCCGAUCUUGUCUGAUCUCAGAAACUAAACAGGGUUAGGCCCAGUUAGUACUUGGAUGGGAGGCCACCUAGGAAGACUGGGUGCUGUAGGCA
This 119-nucleotide ribosomal RNA is filed under the name Pteropus alecto (black flying fox). RNAcentral also lists the same sequence under 1 other name. Lineage: Eukaryota; Metazoa; Chordata; Mammalia; Chiroptera; Pteropodidae. The record is from RNAcentral.